UACGUAGGGCGCAAGCGUUAUCCGGAAUUAUUGGGCGUAAAGAGCUCGUAGGCGGUUUGUCGCGUCUGCCGUGAAAGUCCGGGGCUCAACUCCGGAUCUGCGGUGGGUACGGGCAGACUAGAGUGAUGUAGGGGAGACUGGAAUUCCUGGUGUAGCGGUGAAAUGCGCAGAUAUCAGGAGGAACACCGGUGGCGAAGGCGGGUCUCGUGGGCCGUAACUGACGCUGAGGAGCGAAAGCGUGGGGAGCAAACAGG
Molecule: ribosomal RNA, 254 nt
Filed under: uncultured bacterium
Lineage: Bacteria
Description: partial 16S ribosomal RNA
Rfam family: Bacterial small subunit ribosomal RNA
Source: RNAcentral